Molecule: non-coding RNA, 71 nt
Organism: Phrynosoma platyrhinos (Desert horned lizard)
Lineage: Eukaryota; Metazoa; Chordata; Lepidosauria; Squamata; Phrynosomatidae
Source: the annotation of a GenBank genome assembly
GCCAGCAUGGCAUAGUGGUUUGAGCGUUAGUCUGUGACUCUAGGGACAAGGGUUCAAAUCCUCGCUUGGCC